Corticium candelabrum is the source of this 297-nucleotide long non-coding RNA. RefSeq lists it as uncharacterized. The record is from RefSeq and is a predicted model, not a curated record. The transcript has 3 exons. NCBI's taxonomy places the organism in Eukaryota, Metazoa, Porifera, Homoscleromorpha, Homosclerophorida, Plakinidae.
AUAGAGGCAGGUCAAACCCAGUUCGAAGCGACGACUUUGUGUACGAUGAUGAAGCAGCAAAGAGGAGCAGGCUUUCUGCACUGUAAGCAGAAGGGCUCACUGGACAGUCGCAAAUUGGAUGCGCUCAAACAUCAUUGCUUGAUGAGAUUUCCUCCAACGGCAGAAGAAAAUGCUAAGACUAUUAUAUAAUGUCAAGAUUAACGAAGUCCUAGGUGAUGAACGUCGAUUCCAAGCGAGGAAAUGACUGUUAUACUACUCAUAGAUUUGCAAGUGAGCUGGAGAUAGAGAUAUUUUGCA